Molecule: long non-coding RNA, 396 nt
Organism: Psammomys obesus (fat sand rat)
Lineage: Eukaryota; Metazoa; Chordata; Mammalia; Rodentia; Muridae
Exons: 3
Source: RefSeq, a predicted model, not a curated record
UGGAGAUGGACGAAGCUGGAAACAGGAGAACCACCAUGGAGAGAUGGUAUGGCAGAGAAAUCAGGAGAGGGAAAGACUGAAGCCAAGGAAAAGGAGUCACGUGCUUAAGGCCAAGGAACAGGACGCUUUCUGAACAGAAGAUGACACUUUUCACUUGCAAGUACAAGAAACCAGCUGGGCAUGAUGACGCACACCUGUAAUCCCAGCACUCAGGAAGGCAGAGGCAGGUGGAUCACCAUGAGUUUAAGGCCAGCCUGUUCUACAGAGUGAGUCCAGGACAGCCACAGCUACACAGAGAAACCGUCUCAAAAACAAAACAAAGCAGAACAGAACAAAACAAAAAGCAAAGACAAAAACAACAACAAAAAAAGCAAGUACACGAAUAAACUUAAGGAA